RNAcentral lists this unclassified non-coding RNA (199 nucleotides) under uncultured fungus. RNAcentral's name for it is "sequence contains ITS1". Lineage: Eukaryota; Fungi. The record is from RNAcentral.
CUGAAGAAAUGGUAGAGCUGAGCUGGCUCCUUAGGAGUAUGUGCUCGCUCUAUCGCCUUUUCUACUCUCCACUGUGCACCUCUUGUGCACUGUUGAAUGGGCCUAAUAAAUAUAUAUAUAUUUUUGGGCCUAUUCUAUUUUAUUACAAACAUCUUAUGUAUGUAAGGAAAGUGUUAUCAAAAGAAAGAAAUAAUAAUAA